UACGUAGGGGGCAAGCGUUGUCCGGAUUUAUUGGGCGUAAAGAGCGUGUAGGCGGCCAGACAGGUCCGUUGUGAAAACUCGAGGCUCAACCUCGAGACGUCGAUGGAAACCGUCUGGCUAGAGUCCGGAAGAGGAGUGUGGAAUUCCUGGUGUAGCGGUGAAAUGCGCAGAUAUCAGGAAGAACACCUAUGGCGAAGGCAGCACUCUGGGACGGUACUGACGCUGAGACGCGAAAGCGUGGGGAGCAAACAGG
RNAcentral lists this ribosomal RNA (253 nucleotides) under uncultured bacterium. RNAcentral describes it as "partial 16S ribosomal RNA". It matches the Rfam family "Bacterial small subunit ribosomal RNA", at positions 524 to 776 of the family's 1533-position model. The record is from RNAcentral.